RNAcentral lists this ribosomal RNA (408 nucleotides) under uncultured bacterium. RNAcentral describes it as "partial 16S ribosomal RNA". It matches the Rfam family "Bacterial small subunit ribosomal RNA", at positions 28 to 526 of the family's 1533-position model. The record is from RNAcentral.
GACGAACGCUGGCGGCGUGCUUAACACAUGCAAGUCGAACGGAGUGGCGAACGGGUGAGUAACACGUGGGUGACCUGCCCUGCACUUCGGGAUAAGCCUGGGAAACUGGGUCUAAUACCGGAUAGUGUGGGCAGGGCCCGCGGCCUAUCAGCUUCUUGGUGGGGUAGUGGCCUACCAAGUCGGCGACGGGUAGCCGGCCUUCGAGGUUUGACGGCCACAUUAGGACUGAGACACGGCCCAGACUCCUACGGGAGGCAGCGGUGGGGAAUAUUGCGCAAUGGGCGGGAGCCUGAUGAAGCGACGCCGGGUGGGGGAUGACGGCUUGCGGGGUGUGAACUCCUUUCACCAUCGACGCGGUAGAUGGAGAAGAAGCACCGGCUAACUACGUGCCAGCAGCCGCGGUAAUUC